This is a long non-coding RNA of Corticium candelabrum, 487 nucleotides long. RefSeq lists it as uncharacterized. The transcript is spliced from 3 exons. The record is from RefSeq and is a predicted model, not a curated record. Lineage: Eukaryota; Metazoa; Porifera; Homoscleromorpha; Homosclerophorida; Plakinidae.
UUUGCGCAUGCGCACUUAAAACAAGAUGAGUGGGCCACAACAGUUUCCGCAGCACACUGUGGUACAGGAUGAGAUGUUUCCUGAGGGACCUGGAGCAUGGGCCGACGUAGAAGAGUCCAUUCACGGAGUUGUCAUGGACUUGGCAGACAACGACAGAGCCGUUCAUUUGGAUUUCUUUAACAAAUUUGAUGAUCUGUUUGACGACGACGAUGUUUCCUAAUCGGUGGCACUGUAUUUACUGGUAUCAUAGUUAUGGUUAAAAUUAAAGAUAUGUAGCCAUUGACUUCUGCAGCAUUAGCUAAUUAAAUAUAUACAUGUCUAGAAAACAAGAUCACAUAAUCUUGCAAUUGUGGUGUUGAUGAGACAUGCACAAGGGUGUAGACAAUGAGGAGGGAUAACAAACUUCUUUCUUCAGAGUAAAGUUUGUAAGUUUUAAGUGAGGGAUAGAUUGGAGUGAUGAAGUGUGAUUGCACGUUCUGAAUUUCAU